UGGGGAAUUUUGGACAAUGGGGGAAACCCUGAUCCAGCCAUCCCGCGUGUGCGAUGAAGGCCUUCGGGUUGUAAAGCACUUUUGGCAGGAAAGAAACGUCAUGGGUUAAUACCCCGUGAAACUGACGGUACCUGCAGAAUAAGCACCGGCUAACUACGUGCCAGCAGCCGCGGUAAUACGUAGGGUGCAAGCGUUAAUCGGAAUUACUGGGCGUAAAGCGUGCGCAGGCGGUUCGGAAAGAAAGAUGUGAAAUCCCAGAGCUCAACUUUGGAACUGCAUUUUUAACUACCGGGCUAGAGUGUGUCAGAGGGGGGUGGAAUUCCGAGUGUAGCAGUGAAAUGCGUAGAUAUGCGGAGGAACACCGAUGGCGAAGGCAGCCUCCUGGGAUAACACUGACGCUCAUGCACGAAAGCGUGGGGAGCAAACAGG
Molecule: ribosomal RNA, 429 nt
Filed under: Acidobacteriota bacterium
Lineage: Bacteria; Pseudomonadati; Acidobacteriota
Description: Acidobacteria bacterium partial 16S ribosomal RNA
Rfam family: Bacterial small subunit ribosomal RNA
Source: RNAcentral